Long non-coding RNA from Anguilla anguilla (European eel), 890 nucleotides. RefSeq lists it as uncharacterized. Lineage: Eukaryota; Metazoa; Chordata; Actinopteri; Anguilliformes; Anguillidae. The record is from RefSeq and is a predicted model, not a curated record. The transcript has 2 exons.
UCCAGACUUUGGAUCGAAUGGAAACUCAAGGAUGACUGAAAAUGUCUUGAAGGACCAUUCGAGACUGGAAGCUUGUAUCCAGAGCUGUGAGAGUCAGAUCGAGGUGGUGGAGAUGAAGCUCAAGGCACUUGAGGAAGUUAAGAAAACUCUGGAAGAGCACAAAGAGGACAUAAGGAAAAAUAACUUUCAGUACAAAUACACAACUGUAGUCAUGAAGAAGGUCCCAGUUCAGGCAACGACACUGUGCUGCACCAAUUGUAAGUGGUGGAAGCUGGUGUCACCAUAGAAACUACUGAAGAGACACUCCCAGGCUCAACCUAACAACAGAUGAGGUGUUGAGAAAAGUAUACGCAAUUUAAGCCAGAAAGCAACUCUAUGACAAGGGGGGAAAUAUGACUGUAUGCUUGACUGGUAAAAUGGUUUUAUUGUUUUGUAUUUGAUAAAUGGUUUUAUUGUUUUGUAUUUGAUUUCUUUUGAUGUAGAUCUUCAUUUCCUAAGUGUUUUAUCAUAUAGAAUUCCAUGGAGACCUCAGUAACUGAGCACAUUCUAAAAAAUCUUGGUAGUCCAAGACCAAUGGCAUUUUUUCAGAAAAAAUUGUAAAACAGUCUUCCUGUUGAUUUUAUGAUCUAAAAUGGUUUGUUUAAUGGUCUUUUGUCUUUUAAUGUACUGUGGGGUGCUUUGUAGAUUAGUAUUUCCACAGGUCCUAUAAUCCUGAUGAGUAAUUAAGAAGUGAGUAGGGCCAGACCCCUUGGAGGAUCUGUUGUAUGGAUUUUAAAAGCCUUUAAACUUAAACUGCUUUGGUGCGAGGAGGGAAAAUAUAUAUAUAUAUUCUGCUUUUGUUUGUGAGAAAUGCCAUUAUUUGUUCAAUGAAUAUAGUGAAUAUAACCAAU